UAGGUGACCUGAUGAGCAGAAAUACGAU
This 28-nucleotide non-coding RNA is filed under the name Mus musculus (house mouse). The record is from RNAcentral. Lineage: Eukaryota; Metazoa; Chordata; Mammalia; Rodentia; Muridae.